This 1371-nucleotide long non-coding RNA is filed under the name Homo sapiens (human). Its description in RNAcentral is "HSALNT0370958". Lineage: Eukaryota; Metazoa; Chordata; Mammalia; Primates; Hominidae. The record is from RNAcentral.
CAGACCACAAUGCACCGCUCACGGCGUCGGUUGCCCGGGCAAUGGGCCGCACGCUACGAGGCCCACACACCCAGAAGGUGGAGCCCCGGCCGGGUUACGAGGACCACCCAGCUGUCUGGAGAGGUAGGAAGGGAGCUUCUGCCGGGGCCAAGGGAAGUGAUUCCAAAUUCACGGAGGUUGUCCCAGGGUGUGUUCUCGAACAACAGUCUCUAGAAGUUGGUGGCCAUUCCUGCCCCCACCCCCCCGCCCCCCCACCACGACAGGUCGCAUGAUCUCGCACCCCAGAUGAAGAAAAUGAGGUUCAAAGAGAUGAAGUCUCUUGCCUAAAGUCAGUGACAGAAAGUGACAGAGCUGGGAUGUGAAUCCUGGUCUGACUCUACAGUCCCACAUGGUAGAUGGAACCUCCGAGCAACACCUAAACAAAAGGAGUUGAUGCCUCCGAACAGAGUAAUGUCGCUGGAGACACUAAGCAUCGUCGGCCCCUGGCAGGAGCUCCCUAAAUAUGUGUUGGAUGGAUGGAAGAAAGGAUGGAUAGUUCAGAGUACUUCAGCCUUGAUUCCUCCGCAACAGACACCUGAAACUUGACCCUACAUUGGUUCUUGGCCAUCGUGAUCUUCCUUGGACAGAAUCACCUUUCAGCUCCGGUCAUCAGACUUUCCCAGGGCCCUCAGAAAGCCCUUCAGAGUUGUUACUCACAGGCAGGCUGAGGGAUUCCUUACGGGGUCUGCAGCUCUCCUCACCUCAUCCACAAGUAGGACCGUGGCCUGUUCCUCACUACUGCCCCAGGAUCACUCUGUUCCCAGCCCAGUCCAGCAAUCACUUGUCUAGCUUUCUGGAACCUUGAGUACUUUCUUGAACCAUGAGUCCUGUGACCACCCUAGCAGCUCUAACCCUCCCUUAUCUGAAAGGAAGUGUGAGGUGACCUUGCAGGUCCCAGAGUUGAUUGAAGACCCCAUCCAGAAAGAAGGCACCCUGUGGGAGAGAUUGCAAGGCCUAGGUCUGAAUCCGGAAGCUUCCACCCCAUGGAGAAGGGCUGGCACCAGCCUGGGGCUGGCAGUGGAGCUGAGCUUUGGAGCCAAGGACUGUACUGCAGUGCAGGGAGAGUGAGGCCAGAAAGGCUGAGACAACUCAGGGAAAGAAAACCUCCCUUCUGGCUAAUAGUCAAGCACCGCCUGAGUAGACCAACACUCUCCUGUCCACAGGGGCAGCAGAUGAAGACACAACCAGAGAGGACUAACAGGCCCCCUCAGCUCUCAGUCAGAGGGCAGAGCAACACAGAAUAGACAUUAAAGGAACAGACUUUGAGGCCAGGCAGCCUUGGGUGUGCAUCUGUCCCUACUAAGCCAUGUGACAUUAAACAAGUGAGUCCAC